Non-coding RNA from Lepisosteus oculatus (spotted gar), 3330 nucleotides. NCBI's taxonomy places the organism in Eukaryota, Metazoa, Chordata, Actinopteri, Semionotiformes, Lepisosteidae. The record is from RefSeq and is a predicted model, not a curated record.
AGCGGUAGAAGUUCACCAACACAGUCGUGAGUGAACAGGGAGUACAACCUUGGACAGCAGCCUUGUUCCAGUGCUCGGGCAUCCUGAUGCCUAAGGAGGGAAGGAGGACCUCUUCCCUCACAGAAGGCAUUUAGUUUAGUAGCCCUGAGAUACAGGAACUGCAUUUCAUGAUCCAAAAUCCAAUGAAAGAAAUUAGGUGGAAGCUGCUGAGAGAAAAACAAACAUUUUCUUAAAUGACAAAUUUCACCGUGUUGCAGGUUUUGGAAAGAAGAUGAUCUCUUGCUGUACCUUAGAUGAGUUACAACUUGUAGUUACUUUUAGAAAAUAGAGUGCAGACUUUGACAGGAGACUGAAUGCUUUGAAUAUGGCUGCAUCCUUCUAAAAUGCAUUAAGGCAUCAUUUGUGUGCAGCGUCAGCUGAUUGUGUUUGAAAGUUUUCCAUCUUUGCCGGAGCUGUAUAAUGAAAUGAUAGUGGCAAUUAAGGGGUUUGAUAAUGAUUAAACCUUUUCAAUAGAAAACUUAACUAACUAAUGGCAACUUUUAAAAAUAAAUGGUUUGCUUUUUCUUCUUGUAGCCUUACAAAAUGUAUCACAUUCACUACCACCAGUUUAAUGCACAGAAACAUGGGCAUCAUUGAAUAAACUUGUACAAGAAGUUAAACAUGAUGACCGGAGUCUGUGAUACAGCCCUGCAGUUUUGGGCUCUAUGUACAUUGUUUUUCCGAUAAGGUUGGCAUAUAAUAUGUACAUAUGUAUAAACACAUUGUGGUGGAAAGUAUGAAUUAACCAACAUCUGUAUUCAACCAAACUGAAAUUUCAUGCUUGUUACAUUGAUGUUAAAAUGGCAUCAAGUAAUCAUUAUGAUUUAUAUGAAUAUCUCUGAGAUUGUACCAUUGCUGGCUGACUUAAUAGGACCCUCCAGUCAAAUGAAGAGAUUUCCUCAGGGAUGGGUAAUGCUUGACAAGCAUGAGACAGAGUUCAGUCAUCUGCUGCCUUCAUCCAACAUAGAGAGGACUCAAUCCUCUUCAAAGCUGGAGGAACUAGUACAGUGUGCAAAUCAAUCCCACUUGUAUGUUACGUCCACUUACCUGACUGAUGCAUCUGUUCCAUUUAUACACAUUUACAUUUCAAAGAAGCAAUUGGAGUUUCUUUUUAAGGACUGUAACAACAAUGUCUUAUCCAAGGUUUGAACCUACAACUUCCACUUACAAAACCAGAGCCCUAUCCACUACUCCACCUCACGACAACCACAAUUGAAGGUGACCCUGCUUUAAGAAUGGAAAAUAAUCAGGCUAAAAAUAUGUCAAAAUCUUGUCUAACACAAGUACUGAUCAAACUGUUUUGCUGCUCACAGAGGUAAAUCAUUCAGUAAGGAGAUUCCUAAUGUAUUUGUCAUUGUGUGAAUUAUUUGGAAUCCAGCUGCCUUUUUACACCCCAUUGUUUUCAAUUUCUAGGAAAAUGCUUAAAAUGCUGAAAGAAAGGAAAUUUCAUCUUCAAACCUAAAACACUUAAUAGCACCAGUCCCAAUUGUCAGCUUUUAUAACCAAGAACUCCUGGUGCAAACAUUGUAGAUUUAUGGUGAAAGCAAGUGUUUGAAAAAAAGUGUUCUUUUGUAAUAUGUAUUUUCACAAAAAUAGCCUCACAGAAAAAAACCCACAAAAACAUGUAACCAUUAAAUGGCCAAGUUGACACUGUUAACACUGUGCUUUGGUAUAAGAAAAAACCUGUUAUCAUUUCAGAACUCCUCUGUUGUUCAUGAAUUCAAUUUAGAAUUUAUUAUUCUUGUCUGUUAUAAUAAAUGUGUUUUAGCUUUAAGAAAGUAGUUCAAAACUGGAAUCGUAUUAAAUAUAUUAUGCAUUCUGCUCUAAAUUACAACCUUGACAGGAAGAGCCGUCAGCAGGUUUAGUCUCUUGAUGUCAUUGUAGAGUAGCUACAGUCUAUUGGAAAACUGCAUAAAAAACUGGCAGUGUUUUGUAGGAUGUAAACACUACAGUUAAAGCAUUUAUUAUUGUGCAAAAUUAUAUCUGUCUGUGCUGCUAGACUGGCCUCUACAGAAAAGCAGACAGUUUUUUAUUUUGGAGUUUAAAUGAUGGAUUACGGUUACAAGAGGGCAAUACAAAAGUUCACUGUGUGGAACAAAACCUUGUGACUGAUAUAUUUCAAAACGGUUUUCCCUCGGCUAUGUGACCUAUAACUUACUCUGUAAGCUUUGUGUUGAAUUGGAAUUACAUUGAAAUUUGUAAGUCUGCAUUGGGUAUUAGGAUACAACUUUACACUUUCCAUCCAUCUACUCUUGUUCCAGAGGACUGGGUUCUUUGAUCAAUAUGUAUGCAUUUAUAUACAGUACAUAUUUUACAUACUGUCUGCAGUACUUUUGACAAUGUGAAUUUACUUUUUUUUGGAAUCCUUAUAAAUGCUGUUUGCUCUAUUUUCUAUUAUUUCUCUUUAAACACACAUUCACAAAUUAUAAGAAAGUUAUAAACUAAAGGCCAUUCUAUAUAUGGAAAAUUAUAUUUUUAAUUGAUUCAUUUUUUAAGUUAAUGUGUACAAUGGCAUUACAAAUAAUAAGGCCCUCAACGUUUCCAGUGUACUUUUCAGUGUUCUGUGAGGUGCUCUGUGUGCGUAACCUCUUAUUUGUCAUGACAUCAUAGGAGGAUGGAAGUGACAUUUAUAAGCUUUUUAAACUUUAAAAGAAGGGUUUCAACUGAUCCACAGAUGAUGAGGACCUCAUACAUAUGACAAUGAUAUGUCAUAAGAACAUAUCAUGUUAAAAACAGAAAGAGGCCAUUUGGCCCAUCAAGCUCCUUUGUUUGCUAGGUGCAAAUUGAUUAAAAGAUUUCAUUUAGCAGCUUCUUGAAAUAAAAUAGGAUAUCGGCUUCAAAAACAUAGCUGAGUAGCUUGUUCCAGACUUCUCCUGUGAAGCGUUCUGUUUUCAGAUUUAAUACACUUCCUCUGUUCUGUGUUUAGCUGAUUAUUCUGGAAACAUCCAUUAGGUUUUGUCAAUGUGUAUGAGAACUCUAUAUAUGUAGAUCGUUUCCUUUUGUAAACUAAAUCUUUUUAGUCUCAAACAGAGAAAACUUCAGAGUACAAAAAGACUAUAGGAUAUUCCUCUGAGACUGUUAAUGUAACUGGUUGCUGUUCUCUGAACUAUUAUAAAUUUAUUCAUAUUGAAAGUAGUCAAUGUUCUUCUGAGGUCAUUAUAGUGCAUUAUAAAAUUUUAACAUAACAUCUGUUGACCAAAAGGUUAUGCUUUUCACUAUAUAUCCUAACAUUCUGUUUGACUUUUUAUUGAAUUUUCACAUUGUUGUAUACUGUAUGUGUCAUCAUGAACA